RNA transcript from Brienomyrus brachyistius, 1254 nucleotides. It is a transcript of the gene named serine-rich and transmembrane domain-containing protein 1, with no coding region annotated. The record is from RefSeq and is a predicted model, not a curated record. The transcript is spliced from 2 exons. Lineage: Eukaryota; Metazoa; Chordata; Actinopteri; Osteoglossiformes; Mormyridae.
CAUCUGGCAGUGUCAUCCGGAGAGGCAUGGUUACAGGAGGAGAGAGAGGGAAUUACUGCAGAGGAAAACGGAACCCUAAACAGCCGGGCAGCCAGCUCCCGCUCAGAGGUGCGAGUCGGUGCGCCAGCGAUUGCCGUUAAUCGGUUACUGGGUCCUCGCUGGUCUUCCGCUCUCCUGCUCUGUAAUUCAAACUAAGUUAACGUCCUCGCUCGGAACGAUGCUGUCCCUCGCUGAGGCACAUGCAGCGCUGACUGUACUCCUGGGAAAGAGGACGCGUUUCUGAGAGAUGUCGGAGUAAACGACCCUCCCCCGUUGAAGAGGCCGCAGAUCAGAGGGGAAUCCUCCAAGGCUUCAGAUGUCCCGCCAAGAAUAACCUUGCCCUGAAUCUCCUAGGCCCAUCAGCCUUGAGGCCACGUCCACCUGGUGUGGCAGCCUGAGCGGGAGAUCGCGCUCACAGCAUCGUGGAAGUGCUUCAUGGGUGGCGGACUGCGAGCCAGGUUCACCCUCUCCGUGCGAUAGACUCAGAUCCAUUCACAAAGCACCGCAAAGAAAACUCAGCAAGUCUUCAUUCAAACUCCAAGCCCCCAACCUACAAACUUCCAUCACCACUUAUCUUUGUACCUUAGCGAAUUCAUACUGGGCCUCUUUAGUGGUGGUGGGGUUGGGUGGGAGAUCUAGGAGUGAAAUUUAAUAAAGAAGCUUUACUUGCAAUUUGCACAAGUCUGAGUUCAGAUACACUGGAACGCGUCUUCUUGCACAUCCCACCCUGCUCUCCCGGGAGACACAUAUACAACUGAGAGUGAAGUUUAGGGUCUGAGUGCAGUGCGAUGCCACUUAUCUGGCAACCCUGGAGCAUUUCAGAAGGUUAAGGGUCUUGCUCAAGGGCCUGACAGAGACAUGACUAUCCUGUGGCGUACAAGGGCUUGAGGCCCAACCCCCUGAGCCACACAAGGUCCCCUCCAUGCUUUUAACGGAGUGCUGUGAGUGGGGAUGAUUUCACAUCUAAUACUAAAAGAAGCAGCAGAGUGAGAUGUAUUGCAGGUUGCCUGACGCUGAGCUAAAUGCAGCCUACCGUUGAUGUCACACCUGUGAUCUCCAUCUAUACCCAUCGUGGUGUAAUGCAAGCAAGCAGCCUCAUGGCUCAAAGGCUCACAGCUUUGGGUCUUAGCUUGCCAAAGACUAGAAACUACUAGAGAGUUUCUCCACUGCCACCAUACCUCUUAUUUUUAUUGGAUGGGGGGGCAUCCAACAACU